This 308-nucleotide ribosomal RNA is filed under the name uncultured bacterium. Its description in RNAcentral is "partial 16S ribosomal RNA". It matches the Rfam family "Bacterial small subunit ribosomal RNA", at positions 505 to 807 of the family's 1533-position model. The record is from RNAcentral.
GAGACAGCAGUCGCCACGGUAAUACAGAGGGUGCAAGCGUUAAUCGGAAUUACUGGGCGUAAAGCGCGCGUAGGUGGUUUGUUAAGUUGGAUGUGAAAUCCCCGGGCUCAACCUGGGAACUGCAUCCAAAACUGGCAAGCUAGAGUAUGGUAGAGGGUGGUGGAAUUUCCUGUGUAGCGGUGAAAUGCGUAGAUAUAGGAAGGAACACCAGUGGCGAAGGCGACCACCUGGACUGAUACUGACACUGAGGUGCGAAAGCGUGGGGAGCAAACAGGAUUAGAUACCCGCGUAGUCCCUGUCUCUUAUAC